RNAcentral lists this long non-coding RNA (6066 nucleotides) under Sus scrofa (pig). Its description in RNAcentral is "lncRNA (ENSSSCG00000057892.1)". The record is from RNAcentral. Lineage: Eukaryota; Metazoa; Chordata; Mammalia; Artiodactyla; Suidae.
ACACACAUGCCACUGGCAGAGAUGCGCCUGGGCAUCCGUUCAGAGGCCCGCAGCAGCAUCUCCAGGCAGCAGCAGCUGGUUCUGUCCUCCGUGUUGCGUCUGUCCUGCUGCCUUUGAUUCUGCUCUGCACAUCGCUCAGUAGCUACCUUGUUGGCAGCCCACCGUGUGGCGGGCACCGGGUCAGCCUGCCCUCUUUUACUUGAAUAGCCCUGUGUUUCAUUGCCUGCGUGGGUGAGGAAACCAGGACUCCGGCUUGUGAUGGCUUGUUCCUGGCAGCUGUGCCGCGGAGCCCUCCUGACCCCACCCCCACCGCGCCCUCCCCUGUGGGCCGCAGUUGCUGUGCCAGUGCUUGCCAUCGUCCUGGGUUUUCACUGGAGACCGCCUGGGCCGACUUUCAAACAAGCAGAGACUUGGAAGCAGUGCAACCCAUACUCCUCUUCCUCUGGUGGGGCAGGAUUUUUUCUUGUGAAUGGGACCCUUUAUUUUCAUCGUCCAUAAAUCACAAAGCUUACAAGGGGAGCUGACAUGUGAUCAUGUAAUGUGGACAUGUUGCCCUUUGGAUGGUUUGGCACCAGGAAGCUCAGACCCCAAAGUGCUGAGCUGUGAACCAACUGAACAUCCCUCCCUCUCUCAUCACUUAGAAGAAGCCCACAAGGCAGGUGCCAUCAGGUUCCCAUUUUCCAGAAAGAUGUGGUCCCCAGAGGUUACGUGACUUGCUUGGGUCACACAGCAGAGCUGGCCUUCAGCCCGAGGGCCUCUCCCAGCCAUCAAGGGAGAAGCCCAUCCGCUGGGGGCGGGGGGCAUGGGUCCCUCAUGUCUGGACCACCAGAAGGUCUCUGGGGUCGCUGGGAUGCAUGGUGGCCCAUGGGAACACCAGAGAGACUGACUUCGUGGUGGAACCAGGGGACGAGAACACCCAGGGUGCCCAGUGAACCCAGCCCGGCAGGCCCCUGCUGUGCGUCUCAGGCAGAGCGCUGACCCUCUCUUGGGUCUAAACCUGUAAACUUCGUAGACAUUUAAAUCACUUAAUGCUUUGAGAGACGUGCUCCGACUGUCACCCCUGUUUACAGAGGAGGAAGCGGAGGUGUAGAGAGGACGGUGCCAGCCCAGCUCACAGCUGAGAAGAGCUGGAGUCAGGCCUCACCCUCGGGCCCUCUGACUCCGAGUCCCAGCUCCCCCUGUCCUCAGGGACGGGGGUUGUGUGUGCGGGACGGGCUUGCAGCCCCAAGGGGGCAGGUUUGGAGCAGCGUUUGCUUUCUUCCUUUUAGUUUUCUACGGUGUAUUUAUUUUAAAUAAGCCCUAUCAUUUCUGUGAUUGGGAAGAGACUAAAUUCACUUAGUUUGGCCCUCUCCCCCCAGAGGACCCCUUAUCGAUGGUCAAAGGGCCUAAAACAUCAAAAUCGGGUUCAUCCGCGCAGCUUCCGUCCCCAUUUGGGUGAAGCCAGUUUUCGCUGCUGGGUCCCUGCGGUCGUCCCAACACAAACCAUGAAGCGGACACCAGGUGGCAGUGCCGCCUCGGCGAGAACCAGCCCGGAGCGCGAUCCGAUCCCCGGGGCGGGUCGGAGGCGGGGCUGCCUCCGCUCCCAGAAGGGCUCCCUGACCUGGAGCUUUCUCCCCAGGGGAGGACUUGCCAGGCCUCUGGCCAUCUGGACACAGGAGGCCCAGCCUCCCUGCUUCACCCAGGCUGUGGCCACGCGAAGGUCUUACAUACAGCAGGACCCGAAACCCCGUGUGCUGGCCGACGGAGGCUGGCUUUGGGGGAAAUGUCCAAAUACAGAGGCAUCCGACCCUCUGCUGGGGGCGAUCAGAGGACCUGGCACAGCCUGUGUUCAUCAGCCCCGGACACACCGGGACUCACAGGAUCCAUGCCUCCUCCCUGGUGUGGUGCUGUGGUUUUAAUAAGAUGCCCCGAGAGGGGGUGUGCCUGUCACCACUGUCACUCCUCCGACCACUGUCCCGCUGCAGCGUUUCUCCCUGCGCUGCCAUCCCCACUGACAUGGCGCCCUGCAGAAGGCCCCCCCAGCACCCGAGCCCUCUGGGCAGACUCGCCCUUCUCCGCAUCCCCACACAGCUGUGCUGCCAGAGUCGCUGGGCGCCUUGGUGCCCGUGCCUACUGGGGCCUUGAACGGCGUGUGUUCCGCCUCUGAUCGGGGUUUGGGUGGCCCUGCCGUGGUGACAUCACCUCUUCAGGGUGUUGACACGGCCAAUCUCAAGGACCCUGGUGCCGGCAACACAGCGUCGGUCUCUGCAUCUGUCACGACAGGGCUGUGUCAGCCGCUGAAUCUCGUCUGGUCCCAGGGCAGGCCGCAGUGGGUGCUCGGCGUCCCUGAGGGAGGGGCUCUGGCAGCUCUUCCUCUGUCCUGUGUUUCACGCCAACAAUACUUGGUACUUGCGAAAGCCGUUCGUCCCUCUCCCCUGCUCAUCCCCACAACACAGAAGCCAGUCCGGUUGUUAAAGGCCCACGACUUGUCGCUGUCCCAUCGUGAGCAGACAGGGCUCACCAGCAGGAGAUGCUGAAGGGGCCUUCCUCCUAAAGCAGCCCAGAACGCUGAGCUUUGGAUACCCGGAAGAUUCCAGAAGUAGAGUGGGGAGGCACAGCCACACGUGUUACCCCGCUGCCCUGAUCUCCUUGAGCUGCAACUUGGGAGUUUAUCUUUGCUGAGUUAAGGGCCCCGAGGAAGUGAAGGCAGCUCUCCUGGGGGCCGUGGCGGGAACCCACAAAGACGAGGGCCGCUGUUCCAGAGAGGAGUGAAUGUUCGGGGCCUGAGCUGGGGCCCCUAGGAGAGCCUCCCCAGCCCAUUUGAUCAAGAUGGGGAGAUCAGAGAGACCCCAGGCCUGUGUGUCCCCUGCCUCCUGCCACUGCCCCGCAAAGGCAGGGAGCUGGCGGAGGCUGGAUCACGAAGCACACUUCGGCUUCUGUUUGCAUUCAGCCUUGUGGCUGGAGAAAAACAGGUGUCCAGGAGCCAGGUGUCACCGUGGUUAGGGCCAUGGACUCUGGGGGUCAGGAAGUCCUGAGUCUGAGUCCAGAUUCCACCUCUUCCCGCCAGCGUCCUGCCAAAGCCCCCGACCUCUCUGAGCUGAGAUGAGGCGGACCUGCCUCUGGAAAGCAGGAGCAGUGAGCCAGUCCUAGAACCUGCCCAAGGGGGCGGCCGCAGGGCCUGCACGUGGCGCCUCCUGAGCACUCGCCUGGGCCUGCUUGCCUGGGCUCCAAGCUCUGCUUCGUAGAGUCACCAGCUGGCUGGGAAGCUGGGCAGGAGGGGGCAGCAGAGGCCACAACGAGAUGCCUUCCGCGGGGGUUUCUCAGGAGCCUAGAGUUCCUUGGAGGAGGGACUCUGAACUCAGCCCCCAUCAGGACCAGCAGGCGUGAAGGAGCCCUUGAGCGCAGGGGUCUUCUGGCCUGGGGGUUAGGAGAUGGGGGCAUGGGUCCAUAUCGGAACCCCAGGCUCAACCCCGUGUGUCACAUUUCCCGCGUUGAAGCCCAGCGGGAAGUCUUCCUUCUCCUGGGAAGGAGGGAAGGGCCAGGUUGGUCAUGUUGGAAGUUGGGCGCCCCAGUGGUUCCCGGGCUGGAUGCUCCAAUCCCUGAACAGUCAGCCUGGUGAAACAGGGGUGCUUGCCCCGUGUUUGCCGUCCGCCCCCACACUGCAGGUGGGGAGGAUGAGAAGUGCCUGGGUCUCGUGGUCAUUCCUGUCCGGGCACCUGGGCCUAAGCUGUCUCUUGCUUCUCUCAAGUGUCCCCUCACUGACCACUGCCUGCGUAGGUCAGCAGGACUUUCCUAGAGGUGAGGAGGACAGAGGCCUGGAGGUGACAUGGCCUGCCCAGGGCAGGUGGUGGCGGAGCCAAGACUCUAGCUCCAUCUUUGCACUACCUCCUGGAGAGCUGCGGGCAGGCAGUCAGCCCUCCAGCCCCAAAGGGGAAAGAAAAUAUCCAGACAGAGUGGGCCUCGCCGGCCAGGCUCCUUCCCAUCAGAAGCGCACACCCUGACCCUGCCUGGUCACAGGGCCUGCAGUUCCAGUCCGCUGAGGGCUGGGGAGCCUGGACACUGCACCAGGCGCCGCCGCGCUCUGGGGCGGCCGUGGCCGGCAGCCAGGUUCGGCUGUGUCCAGGGCGUCGGCCCCACGCAGAGAACCUUGCCUCCCAGGGACGCGUACUCCACAAACAGAAACCCUAUCCCGUGGGUCCUGCCCACCUCCUGGCCUGUGAUUUUGGAGGGCACUCAGACCCCUGAGGUGUCUUGACUGCAUUGUUCCGGGACAGACUCCCUGGACACGUGCUCGGACCUUUUGGGUUAAGUCGAUGGAGAAUGCCCCGGGCUAGAACAAGACCCCUGGCUGUACCCACUCGAGAGCCUUUGUAUUUUAAGCCGGUAACUUGCACAAGCUGUGCAGGCUUUUGUGUUGGCAGCUGGGGUGGUGGAAGCUUCGUCCUAAGGUCCCUGUGUGAGCCCGGCUCGACCCGAGUGAGUGCCGUCUUGCGUCUUUCGGGCCCUGGUGCAGCAGCGGCGAGCGGGGGCGCCACAAAAUCUUGGUCUCGGGUGUGGCAGCGGCAAAUAUGCCUAAAGCCUCUGGCCCUUUGGAGCUGGCCUGGAGCCAGCCUCUCCUGCUCGCAGGGAAGGCUGAACUUUGCUCUCGGCGUCCCCAGACCCCAGGCCUGUCCUAAGGCAAAACUCAGGCCCAUCUCUGGGCCACCGGGCCGGUUUUCCUACACAGGCCCCUCUGGGUACCUCCCACCCAGCCUGGCUGGGACUGGGGUGCGCUGGGAGAUCCUGCUGAAGUGGAGGCGUCUCUGGGACGCAGCCGCCCCGACUCUGGUCCCGUGGCGCCAAAGCCACGCAUCGCCAGGGCUCACGGAGGCCUCUGGCGCGCCAAGGGCUAAGGGAGUGGGCGUGGGACUGCAGACGCCACUCGAGGAGCCCAGGGAGCCCGCCGGCCGGGCUGGCGUUGGAUUUCUCGUCAUCAGCCCCGCUUCUCCAGAGCCUCCUUCCUAAUUGUGGCCCCGGCUCCAAUGGGGGAAGGGCCGCAGGGUCCCCCUCCUGCCGGCGGGGCUCGUCUGGACACUGGCUCAGCGUCCCUGUGCUGGAGGCCUGGACGUGUCUUCUGGCCUUGUCCCGGGCACCGGCGUGAGGCAGGGUUUGUGGCGAGGUGGCCUCUGCCCCAGAGGACAGGGGCUCCCCCACCCUCGGAGAAGCUGCUCCCCGCACGCGGCCCGAGAGACCCCAGGGGCCGAGUCGCAACUUUUUCCUGUGCCCUUUAUCUCGAUUUCAUAGACAGCUGUUCGUUUGGGGCAUUAAUUGCCUGGGCGAGUUUAUUGAUAAUUUUGAUGUAACAGAGCACCGGAGAAAUUACCCUCACGUCCCAGAUGUCAGAUUUGAGAAGAACCAGGUUCAGGGGCUCGCGACCCUGCGACGCGGAGACACCGCGGGGGGUCCGAAGGGCCGCCUGGAGAGGUGGCUCUGCUGUGUUUGUUUUCCUAGGUAGCGGGAGUGGAGUAGGAAGAGGGUCGGUGGGGAGACAGACUCUAGAGUGGAUGUGGGGAAAGGCACGCCGAUUGGAAGCACGCCCGUCGCCUCGCGCUCCCCCGACAGCCUUUCUCUUGCUCAAAUUUUACUCGCUUCCCCAUUGAGGACGCCAAGUACAGGGCACACACACACACAACAUCUACCAAAAACCCUAAACAGAACCCAAACCUUAAGAGAUGCUCCUUGAUUUAUAACAGCGGGAAUAUGGAAAUAGAAAAGUCUGAAUCCAAAGUAAAAUUCUUACUGGUCUUGGAGUGGCCCCCAAAAAAGUUUUAAAACGUACAUAUAUAUCCGUAUACACACACACAUAUCCACGGUUUUCCCAGGGGGAGGGAGGACUUCAGUUUUUCUUUAAACAUUUGAUUAUUUCUUUAAAACAAUAAAUGACAUUUAGGGGGGCAGAGGGCUCGUCUUCAAAAACAGAAGCCAAGAAAAAUAGUUACUCUUGUCUAGAUUUCACUUCCACGGGAACUGAGGAGUGAAAAGAGGAGGAUUCGCCCACAAGUAACAAAGAAAAAGAAGAAAGUGCUAAGAGCUACCCAUACUUUAAAU